UACCCGGGGAUCCCGAUAACCUGGUUGAUCCUGCCAGUAGUCAUAUGCUUGUCUCAAAGAUUAAGCCAUGCAUGUCUAAGUAUAAGCCCUCGUACGGCGAAACUGCGAAUGGCUCAUUAAAACAGUUAUCGUUUAUUUGGUAAUCACUCACUACAUGGAUACCUGUAGUAAUUCUAGGGCUAAUACAUGCGUAAAGGCCCGACUUAUUGGGAAGGCUGCAUUUAUUAGAUACAAGAACCAGCCUGGAGUUCGCUCCGGAACCUUUGGUGAAUCAUAAUAACUAAGCGAAUCGCACAGGCUUGCCUGGCGAUAGAUCUUUCAAGUUUCUGACCUAUCAGCUAUCGACGGUAGGGUAUUGGCCUACCGUGGCUAUGACGGGUAACGGAGAAUUAGGGUUCGAUUCCGGAGAGGGAGCCUGGGAAACGGCUACCACAUCUAAGGAUGGCAGCAGGCGCGCAAAUUACCCAAUCCUGAUUCAGGGAGGUAGCGACAAGAAAUAACGAUAGUGGGCUCGUUCGAGUCCGCGCAUCGGAAUGAGGAUAAUUUACACCCCUUCUCGAGGAUCCAUUGGAGGGCAAGCCUGGUGCCAGCAGCCGCGGUAAUUCCAGCUCCAAUAGCGUAUACUAAAGUUGUUGCAGUUAAAAAGCUCGUAGUCGAAUGAAGGUUUCUUGAAUUGCGCGGACUUCUAAGUGUAACUUAGAUUGGUUUGUGCACAAGAACCUCCCUUAUGUGUCUUUUUAGAUCCAAAUUUUUUGUUGGAUCUAAAAAGACACAUGCAUUACUGUGAACAAAAUAGAGUGUUCAUGGCAGGUCAAUUUAGGCUUGAAUACCUCAGCAUGGAAUAAUAGAAUAGGACUUCUGGUUCUAUUUUGUUGGUUUUUGGAGCCGAAGUAAUGAUUAAUAGGGAUAGUUGGGGGCACUCGUACUCCGUUGUCAGAGGUGAAAUUCUAGGAUUGACGGAAGACGAACAACUGCGAAAGCAUCUGCCAAGGAUGUUUCAUUGAUCAAG
RNAcentral lists this ribosomal RNA (1009 nucleotides) under uncultured eukaryote. RNAcentral's name for it is "bacterial SSU rRNA". It matches the Rfam family "Eukaryotic small subunit ribosomal RNA", at positions 1 to 981 of the family's 1831-position model. The record is from RNAcentral.